RNAcentral lists this unclassified non-coding RNA (460 nucleotides) under Hevea brasiliensis (rubber tree). The record is from RNAcentral. Lineage: Eukaryota; Viridiplantae; Streptophyta; Magnoliopsida; Malpighiales; Euphorbiaceae.
UAUUACCAAUCAUGGCUGAGGAUAAGAGGGCUGGUGAAGCUACUCGCAAGGGAUUCUAUGUAUACGAUGACAAGCGGAAGGCUAACCCAGACCCUGAAAUAAAGAAGUACAUUGAGAAAUCAAGGAGCAUGGCUGGUGUUACACCUGAUCCUGAGCUAAUGAAAUUCACGGAUAAGGAUAUAGUAGAGAUGGUCUUCCUACCUGUCGUGAACGAGGCCUGCCGCGUCCUUGAUGAGGGAAUUGCAGUCAAGGCAUCGGAUCUCGAUAUUGCAUCCAUCAUGGGCAUGGGCUUUCCCCCUUACAGGGGUGGCAUAAUGUUUUGGGCCGAUUCCCUCGGACCGAACUAUAUCCUCGUAAGAUUGAAUGAAUGGACGAAGAAGUACGGAGAUUUCUUCAAGCCUUGUGCCUAUUUGGCAGACCGAGCUGCCAAAGGCAGAACUCUGAGUGCCCCAGCCAACGA